This 379-nucleotide long non-coding RNA is filed under the name Dermacentor andersoni. RNAcentral describes it as "uncharacterized LOC126538830". The record is from RNAcentral. Lineage: Eukaryota; Metazoa; Arthropoda; Arachnida; Ixodida; Ixodidae.
GUGGAACUCGGCUGUACCACUGCAGUGCUGCGGAAAUUGCCUUCACCACCGGCUUUGCAACAGCUGUUUUGCAGCAUGUCGGAGACAAUGCCUACGAAAUUAUUGGCCCUGAUCAUGAGAGCCCUCAAGGGGCAAACAACAUCUCUGUUGCAGAAGUGAGCCCGAUACCACUUGGAAGUUACCAUGACAGAUGACACGGCAGCAAUAGAUACAGAGACUGCCAUGUCUACUGCAGCUGCAACAGUGUACGAGGCAAGCAGCAGCGCGUCAGCAUCAGCAGCAGUGUCAGAAGGAACCACACCAGGCCUGGUAGAGCAACAUGUGUGCUAUCACUGACUUUUUUUGUAGUGGAUACAACUCAUUUGCUCAACACACAAAA